Molecule: non-coding RNA, 1186 nt
Organism: Lactuca sativa (garden lettuce)
Lineage: Eukaryota; Viridiplantae; Streptophyta; Magnoliopsida; Asterales; Asteraceae
Source: RefSeq, a predicted model, not a curated record
AAAAAAUCCUGAAACGUGAAAAUUGGCGACAGGCGCACGGUGUCUAAAUCUAGGUGUCCACCAAUACUUCCACCUCCCGCCUCCUUCAGUGUCGUGAGUUCCUCCAUUACCAGAUGAAAUUGAUUUUCUUUUUUCUCAAAAUUUUAUUUUUUAGAUUCUAUCAAAAUCGAUUUCUUUCUUCACAAAAAUUGAUUUGUUGAAAUCGAUUUUAUUGCUUCUUUUCUCAUCUGUGAAAUCCAUUGAUUAUUUGAAAUCGACGUUGAAGGAUUCAGAAUCGGAAGUCACAGGUUAAUCAAAUCGUUAAGAGUUUCAGUCUCAAUAUUGAAAUCGAUUUGGAAGUUCUGGAAUCGGAAUUUGAAAACGGUAAUCAUUCAGAAGCAAAAACGAAACUGAAAUUGGAAUCGGAGCUUGCAAGCAUUCGGUGAUGUAGGCUCGUAUGUUACAACCGAUUCACAUUCAGAGUUUUGGAAUCAGAACUUAAAAUCCUUCGAAUCAAAAUCGGAGAUAUGCGUUUGGUGUUCAAGGCUCGGGUUUUUCGUCUCACAAUCAAUUUUUGAAUCUCAAAAUUGAAAUCGCUUUGAAAUUCAUAAACGAUUCGAAAGCAGAACAAUCUCAUCGAAUCGUUCAGAAUUUGGAUGUCAUCGGAACGCUGGGCAGUGUUGAUUCGAUGGCAAACUUGAUUUUGACUUUUACAAGUCAACUACGUGUUUUAUCAGAUUAAAUGAAGAAGAUGACUUCAUUUACAAUUUCAGCCCUCGGAAGUUACAAAGAUUGACAGAAUUAUCCCUGUUUCUAAAUCCUUUACUAAUCCAUGGUUUUAACCAUUCAGGGCAUCUCAUGUUUACAAUCAACGCCAACAACCAGAUUUUGAUCAGAACCGACAGUUCCGAACGCAAGGAUAUCUACCACAAUGUUAUGGACAAUUUUGGCGACUUAUCUACUCUAAUAAAUGAAGGACUAUGGUAAAUGAGAGGAAGCAAAACCAGGACCUCCAGCUGGAUGCGGAAUGGCUGGAAGAAUGCAUUGAAGACCUAAUAGGAAUAACUUGAAGAAUGAAUAACAUUUGAUCAUACUCACAAUUUUAGAAUGUUGUUAUUUUUUUAGAAUUUUAUUCAGUUUUGUUGAUAUUCUUUUAGAAUAUGUAUACUUAUAUUAAAAUGUAUAAGGCUUUUAAUCUGUAAGAAUA